Molecule: ribosomal RNA, 467 nt
Filed under: uncultured bacterium
Lineage: Bacteria
Description: partial 16S ribosomal RNA
Rfam family: Bacterial small subunit ribosomal RNA
Source: RNAcentral
GACGAACGCUGGCGGCGCGCCUAACACAUGCAAGUCGAACGAGCGAGCGAGAGCUUGCUUUCUCAAGCGAGUGGCGAACGGGUGAGUAACGCGUGAGGAACCUGCCUCAAAGAGGGGGACAACAGUUGGAAACGACUGCUAAUACCGCAUAAGCCCACGACCCGGCAUCGGGUAGAGGGAAAAGGAGCAAUCCGCUUUGAGAUGGCCUCGCGUCCGAUUAGCUAGUUGGUGAGGUAACGGCCCACCAAGGCGACGAUCGGUAGCCGGACUGAGAGGUUGAACGGCCACAUUGGGACUGAGACACGGCCCAGACUCCUACGGGAGGCAGCAGUGGGGAAUAUUGCACAAUGGGGGAAACCCUGAUGCAGCGACGCCGCGUGGAGGAAGAAGGUCUUCGGAUUGUAAACUCCUGUUGUUGAGGAAGAUAAUGACGGUACUCAACAAGGAAGUGACGGCUAACUACGUGC